GCACAGGAUAGACCAUGGACGUAUGAAUAUAAUAUAUUCUUUCCUGCAUGGUAUAGACCACAGUAGAGAUAACAAUCAGUAGAGACAGCUCGCCGUUUUUCGUGACCCGUUUUCGUGGGUGGUCGUUCGCAUUAUGACCGAAUGAGGGCGCCCAACUGACGUCUAAAAUAUUUGAAAUUGACCAGUAAAGUAAGGUUAGAAUUUAGAAUGCGCGGCAGUUCAUAAUUCAAAAAUUCUACUAUGGGUUUCUUAUGGGAGCUUGAUUUUACAGACAAAAUACGCCGCAUAGGUAGAAAUCUUAACUAGUUCAUGCUACAAGCGAUAAAGACUGUACAAUUAUCUUCCUGUUACUAAAGGUUUAACUAUAUAAAAAGCUUCUGUUAAAGAUAUAUUGCAAAUUAAAAACAACGCUAUCCAUCGAAGUAACGUACAUCGUUUCUAACGUCUUGCGCAUGAGUGAAACGGAAAAUCCAGAAACACUUGGGAAAGAAAAAGAACGCGAAUAUUUUGCGGUACUAGUGACGUUUAGAUCGUGAAAAUCCCCAAAAUAUGACAGUUGAUUUCGUAUUUUCAUCACAACAAACAAUCAUAAUCACAGUUUUUGGAUGAUAUAUUAGUUCUGUGAUAUUGAUUCACAUUGGGUUGUAUGUAUCUGUGGACUGUUUUUUUUGUAUUUGUUAUUAAUAAUGACAGAAAGACAUGUGUUAACAAUAGGGGCAAUUGCCAUUUUUUUUGUUGGAGAAAAUUCUUUACAGUCAAAUAGUGUAGCGAAAGUCAAUUGGUAUACUGAAUUAAAUGUGCUUGAAGAGUUUAUUCGAGCUAGAAUGCGAAAAGAUUAUGAUAUUCCUUAAGAGAGGCAACAUGUGAAACCCCAAGAGGUGCAUUUGUAUAUCAUCAUAUGGCUACACCUGCCCUACACGGACGUUAUAAUGUAUUGUGGACCAAUAAUUUGCGUGCUUGAGACGUACAUCUGAAGAAAAGUGAAUCAGCUGAGGUGCGAGCUGUUGUCUCUGAAAAUUCUUUUAAUCCCCAAGUCAGCCUAAAAACAGCUAAUGUUGAGGUACAACUUCAUGAAAGCUUAGGACAAACUGAUAGGAGCGAAGCACUGCUUUUGCUAUUGGGCCCUGAACUAGAAAGAUCUGAAGAAAAUCUACUUCACAGUAUCGAAGAACUAUUAGUGUCCGAGGACUAUUUUAAUGGCCCAUCAAGAAAACAGUUUGUGGGUCAGUUUUUCACCAAAAGUGAAUCAGAUUUUGCAUUAGGAAGUGCAAUUUUUUAUUGUAAAAUACUUUUUUUUUGUUUUGAAAUAAAUUGUUCUUUAAAUUGUGA
Molecule: long non-coding RNA, 1329 nt
Organism: Zophobas morio
Lineage: Eukaryota; Metazoa; Arthropoda; Insecta; Coleoptera; Tenebrionidae
Exons: 2
Source: RefSeq, a predicted model, not a curated record